AGUGAACGCUGGCGGUAGGCCUAACACAUGCAAGUCGAACGGCAGCACAGUAAGAGCUUGCUCUUACGGGUGGCGAGUGGCGGACGGGUGAGGAAUACAUCGGAAUCUACUUUUUCGUGGGGAUAACGUAGGGAAACUUACGCUAAUACCGCAUACGACCUACGGGUGAAAGCAGGGGAUCUUCGGACCUUGCGCGAUUGAAUGAGCCGAUGUCGGAUUAGCUAGUUGGCGGGGUAAAGGCCCACCAAGGCGACGAUCCGUAGCUGGUCUGAGAGGAUGAUCAGCCACACUGGAACUGAGACACGGUCCAGACUCCUACGGGAGGCAGCAGUGGGGAAUAUUGGACAAUGGGCGCGAGCCUGAUCCAGCCAUACCGCGUGGGUGAAGAAGGCCUUCGGGUUGUAAAGCCCUUUUGUUGGGAAAGAAAAGCAGCAGGUUAAUACCCCGCUGUUCUGACGGUACCCAAAGAAUAAGCACCGGCUAACUUCGUG
Molecule: ribosomal RNA, 491 nt
Filed under: uncultured bacterium
Lineage: Bacteria
Description: partial 16S ribosomal RNA
Rfam family: Bacterial small subunit ribosomal RNA
Source: RNAcentral